Long non-coding RNA from Onychostoma macrolepis, 3986 nucleotides. RefSeq lists it as uncharacterized. The transcript has 3 exons. Lineage: Eukaryota; Metazoa; Chordata; Actinopteri; Cypriniformes; Cyprinidae. The record is from RefSeq and is a predicted model, not a curated record.
AGACACGGGUUAUGGUCAUUGCAGUUUCUCCAGCGCGGCUGGCUGCACGACUAUGGAGCGAAUUCUGUGACAAUAUUCAUCAAACAAAUCCAGCGUUUUGCAUAGAAACACAAUCUGUUUUGCAAAGAAAAACUCGACUUUCAAACAAAUGCAAAGUGAUUUGCAAAUACUCUAUUUGAGAGAAAAUGCAGAGGUACGGACAAAUACAUAGCCGUAGCCAGGCUUUGAAAAUUAGUGAGGUCCGGGAGGUGGGGGUGUUAAAGAAUUGUGCUAUAAUAACCCCUACAAAUACAACUCAUUAACACUUUAAAAGAGACAGACAUGUAGAUGUUAGUGAAACCAUACCCUAUUUAUUGCAUCAAAAUCUGUUACUAUAGUUAGGGGUGGAUCAUUUUUCAGCUGUUUAUUAUUCAUGCAACAAUACAAAUUACUGUUAUAGUUUUUAUUAAUAACCAUUGCAGUAUAGUAUAUAUUAAUAACAUUGUCUAGUACUCUUAUGAAUGUUUUUAGCAUGAUUUGUGAAAAUUUAACUACUAUACUGAAUGACAUAGCAUAGAUUCUUCAUGGCUAGUGUUUGCAUAUUUCAUUUAACUCUGUAACCUACUUGUUCUACAGAUCUGUGUACUAGUUUUAAAUGCUAGUACAGUUUUUGACAGUGUUGAUAGCGUUUCUGACAGAUAAUACAAUAUUUUUUUUACGUUUCCCUUACUGAAUGUUGUUAAAUCAUAAGUCUUUAAUCCAACAAGGGUAAAUCUAAAUGUAACACAGCAACAUUUAAGACAUGUAGACGUAAGACUAAACAAACUCAAAGGGAACAUGCAGGAACUUAAGUACUCAGACCAAACAAGGAUAAUUAACUAGGCACACCUGAACAGAAUAAUACAAUCAACACAACACAAGGGAAACAGUGCAAAAGGAAAACAAAGUCUGAAUUAACAGAAACCUUGACAGUAAGAGCUAUCAUUAUAGUGCACUUCUGUUUUUAUGGUGCACAUUAAAAGCAUGUUUCAAAAAAUUAGCUUCUUUAUCUUUCUGGGAAAAUUGAUUAUCCAAAAGACCGGUCCGAUGACAGCGUUACUGUAGUUAAAGCUAAAGUAGUCUUAUGGGCCGAACUUACUGAUUGACGGUUUUUCCCCUGUCGGUUCACAGAAGCUAUAAUGCUAAUAUUAAAAUCCGUGUUUCUUUUGGUUCACAGUUAAGAUAAGUUCAGCAAGUGUUUUUCUGCAUGUUCAGUUUAGCUGUGAUGUUAGCAUUUCAUUACACUUAGCUUCAGUCGUAUAAAUCAGCACUUGUGCAUGAAUUAGCUUUUUGUUAAUGCUAGUUUGUCUCUUAGAUAUAUAUUCGUAACUAUUAUUAUUUAUAAUAACUGCAACUGAGUUGUUGAGCUUAAAGUGAUGUGCAUAUGCUAAACAUUUAUACUAAAAGUUACAGUUAGUCUUGAAAUGUAACACUUUGUUUCUCUGUUUUAGGUGUUCAUGGAGUUCUACAGGAUUGUGGGCAAGAAUCUCAAGCAAUCAUCUAAUUGAGAUAUUUCAGUCUAAAGAGUGAAUGUUGGGCAGCUGUUGACAGUGUUACGUCCAAUGAUGUAUUCACUGCGUUGUGUAUUGUGAUGUUUUCUUGUUGUUGUGGUUUCUCUCUCUCUCUCUGCCUCCUGCUUCUCUGGCUCCUCCCACUUUUUCCACUCUGGCAGGUGGCUGAUUGCUCUUCCCAGCUGCACCUGCUUACCAGCUGAGGACGCAGUAGUAUAAAAGCCAAACAGAACCCUCAGAAGAGGAGAACUUCUCUCCAGAGCAUGUCCUGUGCCCAGCCCUGCCCAGCUCAGUUUGUUGGAGUUCUGUAUGGUUGUUAUCUUCACUAAUCUAACUGUUGAUUAACCUGCUGUUGUGGCUAGAAGCUAGCUAACCUUUGUGCCCUUUGUUGAGCCAGAUAUUGGAAGAUACUUAGCCUACAGUUUUGAUGUUUAAUCAUUUAUUCUGUUUUUUUUUCCCUGCUACCAACAGCUUAAGCUGCUCUCUCUUAAUUGUUUGUUACCCUUUUGGAAGCCGUAGGGAGGUGGGCGCCUUUUCUUUUGGACUGCACCUUUUUUCUCCUGGUUUGAGGAUUAGAUAGGGAGUGAGAGUAUAAUUUUGUUGUUGAUUUCCUUUUAUUUUGACAGGUGUAGAAAGAAUUCCUCCCCCCCCCCCCCCCCAGAAUAGAAAUGCUUUUGUUUGUUAUUUUGGCGACGUUCCCCCUCCUGAAGUUUUUUUGCUUUAACUUUUCCUUGUUUGGAAGCUAUUGCAUACUCUCUGAGCUGUGAAUAAAACCUGUUAAAGGAUUGUUGUUGUUGUUGUUGUUGUUGUUGUUGUUGUGCUGUGGCAGGGGCUUGGGCUAAUGCUCUUUUCAAACCCUUAAUAUUGUUACGUUAUCUUUACACCCCUAGACACUUAAGACGUAACAACAGCUUUCACAACAAAUCAAGACUAAAGAGCCAGCUGAUACUAGGUUUCUGGUGCUCAGACGGCUCCCUUUUGACCUUUGCGACAACCCUACAGAUUUCUACAAAGUGUGCUUUGACUCUGAUGACGAUUACUCAUUCCACCACUUGGACAUUGGAAUCAUCCUCAUUGAGCAUGAAGGUGAUGUGCUCUCAUCCUCUCUCCGUCUCAAUCCAGCCUCAUUGAAGAUCAUCAUUGAAGGAGAUUUUGUGAUGGACAGUAUUGAAGACUUGUCAAAAGCUAUGUGCAUUCUGUAUGGACUUACGCACUGCAUCUCAACUACCCUAAAUCUAUGAAGAACACCUUCCAGAUCAUCCAAGAGGUACUUCUCAUGUUGGGCCACAGUGAACUAAAACCAAGGUUGCAAACUCUGGAAAAAUUGUCCUACAGUGUUAGGAAAUGCGAGAAGCUUCCAUGAGAAGUCACUUGUGUUCUGCCGUACGAGACAUUAAAGUGUAUUCUGUCUCUGCAUAUUAGUGCUGUUAGUGCUCAGUUAAUGUGUUCACACGAUGCUUCAGCCAAGUUUAAAGUUACAGAGACUUGCCUCUGUUUUAAUUUAUGCCCAGUUGUUAAUGCGCAUCCAGGCAUUCACAAGGGAUAUAGCAUAUAUUCUUGAAUACUGCGUGUUCAUGUUACUUCUACAAAAUAGUUACAAUUGUUAACAAGCUGUUCCAAAGCUUAUUUUUACUUGUCUUGUGGCUGACAAAUUUUAUGUAUUGUCGUGCUACCAUUUCUUUUUGUGAACAAUAAAAAAACGGGUUUCUACGCGAUUUUUCUAGUAAAGUCAACUAAUUCGGGUUAAAAGUGCAGUGUUAAGUGCAACAUCCAAACCAGAAGGCCCUCAUCUGUUUUAUAAUAUAUGGGGCAUAUUUGCCAUGUCAAAUGUGGGACAAGUUAGGCUCAUAGCCACAUUAGCCAGUGCUCACUGUGCCAUAUCUUUGCCAAAACUGGCCCAAAUAUGUUUUAGGAUAACUGGGCCACAUUUGUAGCGUCAUAUGCGGGCCACUUUAGACUCACAGCCACAUUAGACAGUGCUUACCGUGCCAUAUCUUUGCCAAAACUGCUUAUAAUGCUUCUUUCUGGAUUUUGUGCAUUAAAUUAAAACAGCCUGUACAAUUUCAAUGCAGAUUUUUUUUUUUUUUUUCUGACAUGAAACCGCUUCAGAAUGCCUCUAAAAAUGGAUUUUGCAUUGGUGCAACUAAAAAGUUAUAAUGUUGAACAAUCAUUCAUGAAACAUUUUUAAGAAUAAACUCAAUUUUCUAAAGAAAAAAAGUUAAAGUUUUGUAUUCCAAAAAAGAAUGUUCUCCACUAUUUCCCUGAGAUUGUUAUACUUGCUAAGUUAACAGAUUCAUAUAUUUAUUGGUAUAAGAUAGUCUGUCACUUUAUUCCUAAAUAAAAAAAAUAUAUUUCAGAAAUUUUUCGAGGAUCACACUAAAAAGAACAAACACAAACUUCUUAUUUAUCCCCAGAAAUUUUUUAUUUUAUUAAAAAACGUUUUUUGAGAAUCUGACU